Molecule: small nuclear RNA, 120 nt
Organism: Oncorhynchus gorbuscha (pink salmon)
Lineage: Eukaryota; Metazoa; Chordata; Actinopteri; Salmoniformes; Salmonidae
Product: U5 spliceosomal RNA
Exons: 1
Source: RefSeq, a predicted model, not a curated record
CGAUUCUGGUUUCUCUUUCAUUAUUACGCACAAGCCUUUCGCCUUUUACUAAAGACUUCCGUGGAGAGGAACACUUACGAGUUCAACGUAUUUUGGAGGGGCUUUGCUUCUUACAGAGCC